Molecule: long non-coding RNA, 1601 nt
Organism: Anguilla anguilla (European eel)
Lineage: Eukaryota; Metazoa; Chordata; Actinopteri; Anguilliformes; Anguillidae
Exons: 3
Source: RefSeq, a predicted model, not a curated record
UGGUUUAAAAUGAUAGUUGAGCAAACGAGUUCUGAAGGCCACACAAAUUGGAUUGAAAAUGAGUUUUACGUGCAGUACUGCAGUUUAGGAAGCGUUUGCUCAUGGCCGUGCCGAUCAGUUCGCCUUGGUCCCGCUGGGGUUUUUUUUCUAUCAGGAGUUUGGCGUCUAUUUGAUUUUUCCCCUCAUUCCUGGUUGGCUUGUCCCCUUUCCUGUGCACCUGCCUAAUCUCUGCCCAGCCAAGUACAUCACAAAAAUUAAUUGCAUAUUACAACUGAAUAGACAAACUACAACCAAGGGCCGACAAUGUACCGAUCAAGAGGCCUGAAGACUGGGCUCGGGAAACGCGACGUAAAUGAAGAAAGCCCCCAAGUGUCCCAACGCUGCAGAGCCUGUCCCUGGGGGCCAGAGCCCAAAUGAGACCUGAGUUACUGCUGCUGAAGAGGGGGGGUCCAGAUCAUGAACAUCUACACGCGUCACUACACGCAAACAUCGGGAUCAGAAUGGCAGUCAGCAGCCGUGCGGCGAGAAGAACAGCUGACCCUCGCUGCGAUUAACUGAACGAAGCAGCCAGGGGCGUCCAGUCAAGAUGGAGCCAGCCCACCAUGAUUGAUUGCACCGGUUUGGCCUGCGCUGUCCGUGGUGCUGAACCGAUCCUGGUCCGGAGGGUGGUUUCCAGAAGCAUGAGAUCACUCGACGAGGACACAACAUCGAUUUUGCUACCGGUCCUUACAUCACCCAACAUUUGUUGAUGUUGGUUUUGCUUCUUGGUAAACCGUAGCCUCUGGUUGUGCAGCUCUGUGAAAAGAAAGGUGUGGCUUCAGAUAGAGGCAUUCAUGCAACUGAUACGAGAGCAACACCUUCCAGGGAUACCGCCCCCCAAGCCAGUGACCCCUUUACCAGCCAGAUUGCAUUACAGCAUUUGAUCUCGGUUCUGGGGAGAUAUUAUUCUUGCCUGAACUUCUUUACAGAUUUUGAAAGGAAACCAUGUUCUGCUCACAUUUUUACCUGCUGUGUUUUCAGCCUUUUAACUAUGAUUUAAUUAUUAAGGACCCCGCCACCAAAAGCACGCAUCUGGCAUCAUGCUAACAUCUAACGUUUGCUGACAGUUUGUUUUAAUCAUUGUUUGAAUAACAUAACCCAUAUACAUCUUUAAUGAUCUUGGAUUGAAAUGAAAUGUUCUGAGGAAUGAGUUGGGUUAUGUUUUGAAGACCUGCGGUGUGUGCUACGCGUGCAGUAUGAACAUGAAGCUGGCAUGGAUAGCAUGCAGUCAUUAUUUUUCAGGCCUUCAGUUGGUUAUUUUUAGGGAGGCUGAAGUAAAUUGCUGCCAAAUAAUACAUUAAAAGGACUGGGCCAAGCCUGACCUGUAAUGUGCUAGACCACUUUCAUCAGCUGGGCCCUCUCCAGGCAUCGAAUACAGAACCUGCUUACCUCCAGGCAUUCCUGCUUCAGGACAGACCAAAAUUAGGGGGUGGGGAGUUGACACACACACUUUCACUGAGAAGCAGACAAAGGAAUUUAUUUCUUUAUUUUACUUUUGAUGUGCUUUUUUCCACGAUUUCUUGAAAGUGUGUUGUUAUUAAAAUGGCCUAAUUUGACUUUCA